AGUGAACGCUGGCGGCGUGCUUAACACAUGCAAGUCGAACGAGAACGGAUUAUAGCUUGCUAUAAUUGUCAGCUAAGUGGCGCACGGGUGAGUAAUGUAUAGGUAAUAUGCCUCUUACUAAGGGAUAACAAAUGGAAACGUUUGCUAAUACCUUAUACUCCUUAUUAACAGAAGUUAAUAAGGGAAAGAUUUAUUGGUAAGAGAUUAGCCUGUAUUGUAUCAGUUAGUUGGUGGGGUAAUGGCUUACCAAGACUAUGACGCAUAACUGGUUUGAGAGGAUGAUCAGUCACACUGGAGCUGAGACACGGUCCAGACUCCUACGGGAGGCAGCAGUGGGGAAUAUUGCACAAUGGACGAAAGUCUGAUGCAGCAACGCCGCGUGGAGGAUGGCACAUUUCGGUGCGUAAACUCCUUUUAUAUGAGAAGAUAAUGACGGUAUUAUAUGAAUAAGCACCGGCUAACUCCGUGCCAGCCGCCGCCGUAA
Molecule: ribosomal RNA, 484 nt
Filed under: uncultured bacterium
Lineage: Bacteria
Description: partial 16S ribosomal RNA
Rfam family: Bacterial small subunit ribosomal RNA
Source: RNAcentral